UUGGAUUUUGUUGGAUAAUUAUGAGAAAAUGUUUAGAUAAACAGAAAGAAUUAUCCUGACUGUCGUGUCACUUUUGUGUAGCAUACGUGGAAGUAAAAGUUAGUUGAAAGCUAUCAAGUUUUAACUUCUAACUUUCGGUGUUUCUGCGGAGGACUUGGUGAUUGUAUGUUUAGUUUCCUUCUUGCCGUUGCAUUUUUUGUUGAUGGACUGCUAUAUGGUUCUAGGUGAUUGUAUGUUUAGUUUCCUUCUUGCCGUUGCAUUUUUGUUGAUGGACUGCGAUAUGGUUCUACAGAUAUGAUGAAUUCUAUCUUUCUUUUAGUUCCCUCGCUAAUGAUCAUUGAUGUUGAAGAUUGUGGCAAGUCGAAAACGGUCUCUUUUUGGGCGUAAGAUAAGUUGACAAAUGUACCAGGUGCUCUAUCUGGUAUCCUGAGUAGUGACUUCCGCAAAUAAAUUUUGAACUGCUUGUGCAACAGAAGCAAUUGUUACUUGCUGAGCACAGAGAGCACCUGCUGCACAGGCAAUUCAAAAUUCAUUUGCAGAAGUCACUACUCAGAACACCCGAUGGAGCACCUGGUACAUUUGUCAGCUAAUCUUAAACCCGAAAACAACUGUCUUGGACUUGCCACAAUCUUCAACAUCAACGACCAUUGGCGAGGGAAGUAAGGGAAAGAUAGAAUCCAUCACAUUUGUAGAAGCAGAUCGCAGUCCAUCAACAAAAGAUGCAACGCCAGGCAAGAAACCAAGCAUACAAUCAGCAAGUCCUCCGCAGAAACGCUGAAGAUACUUCAUCAGAUUUUGACUGCAACGAAGGUCGCGUGAAUGCUUUUUGAUGGCCUACAGCAGUUGUGAUGCAGAUUUUGAUGCUGUUGUUCAUUUCAGUACAGUCUUCUCGCAUUUUUGUGUAAAUAUCUAUGCAAAUUUUGAUGCGGUUGUUCACUGCAUUCACAUUUUGUGUAAAUAAGUAUGCAAACUGUGUCUUUGUAUAUUCUUGUAAAUGCAGGUAGCUCCUUUUAUGCAUGCA
This is a long non-coding RNA of Nicotiana attenuata, 1021 nucleotides long. RefSeq lists it as uncharacterized. The record is from RefSeq and is a predicted model, not a curated record. Lineage: Eukaryota; Viridiplantae; Streptophyta; Magnoliopsida; Solanales; Solanaceae. The transcript is spliced from 4 exons.